UACGAAGGGGGCUAGCGUUGCUCGGAAUUACUGGGCGUAAAGCGCAUGUAGGCGGCAGCGCAAGUCGGGCGUGAAAUCCCACGGCUCAACCGUGGAAGUGCACUCGAAACUGCGCAGCUAGAGUCCUGGAGAGGAAGGUGGAAUGCUUGGUGUAGAGGUGAAAUUCGUAGAUAUCAAGCGGAACACCGGUGGCGAAGGCGGCCUUCUGGACAGUGACUGACGCUGAGAUGCGAAAGCGUGGGGAGCAAACAGG
This 253-nucleotide ribosomal RNA is filed under the name uncultured bacterium. Its description in RNAcentral is "partial 16S ribosomal RNA". It matches the Rfam family "Bacterial small subunit ribosomal RNA", at positions 524 to 776 of the family's 1533-position model. The record is from RNAcentral.